RNAcentral lists this long non-coding RNA (2012 nucleotides) under Linum usitatissimum (flax). RNAcentral's name for it is "long non-coding RNA (LUSI_LNC002679)". The record is from RNAcentral. Lineage: Eukaryota; Viridiplantae; Streptophyta; Magnoliopsida; Malpighiales; Linaceae.
UUAGCAAUUUCUUCGAAAAGUUUAAAGAGAUUUACUUGGAAAUGUGGUUUAAUGGGUUAAUAUGUGAGAUUUGACUUUUUGUAAGACAGUAUAUUAGUGUACUUUUAGUCAACAAUCAUGUGGAUGGAGGAGCUGAUUAGGCAUACUUAGUUAGCACACUUGACAAAGAUUUGAUAGUGAAAUGAUUGUUUGAGAAGAGUCUCAUAACAGAGGGGUUAAUUUAAUUGCAAUGUAGUAGAUAGGUGCAUUUCAUAAUUUUGUAUACUAGGAAAGUGUAGGCUAGUGAUAUGAAUGUUGUUAGUUUUAAUAGGUUAGUGACGAUGGAGUUAAAACCCCAAAAGAUUAGUGGCCGAAAUUGAUAAUUACCCAACACUUGUAAAAUAUGGCCAUAGUCCAUAGAUACCCGGCUAAGUUGAUAGCAUAGAGACUAGAAAGCAAGCUUACUAAUCAGGAAUCGUGAAACUUUGCCCCUGGACAAUAAAGCUGUUUCCUUCUUCUGGCCGACUGACAAAGAAAGAACCAACCAUUUGACUAAAUACACAUGCAUGAGCCCAACUAUGUCAUCACCUCCCAUAAUUUUAAUUUAACUAAAAAUCGGAUUAAGUAGUAGAGUUUAGCCUCCAAACUAACUUCUUCUUUUGGUCACAUUUCAACAGUUCAACUGGAGUUUUGACUGUUCGAAUUUUCAGUCAUAAUGACGUGAAUAUUCUGCCUGCCUGCCUUUCAUUUGUUGAAGUUUUUGACAAGAUUGUAUAAAUUUUUUAUACAAAAGCUCAAUUAUCAGUGAGGUUCAUACGCAGGCUUGACGUAAAAAAUGUAAACCACGUUUGGUUUUGAUGUUUUGGUGGAUGGGUAGUUUUUGUAAUCCCCUUGGUGGAUAGGAGAAAUAAAAUUUUUUUUAACAAAACUUAACAAAAAGAUGAGUUUUGUAAAUUUUCAAAUGGUAAUUUGUAUACUAAUUUAGAUUUCCAAUACUAUCUUUGUUUUUAGAAGGGUUUCAAUUAAUUUUAAGAAAAAUAACAAACAAUCUAAUAAUUAAAUAAAAAAUUAUAUAUUUUUACUUAAAACCUAAUCAUAAAUAAAUAGCUUUCAAACAAAAAUUUUGAGAAAUAUAAAAUUACCGUUUCAAAAGCUACCAUUUUAAAAGAACCCAUUCAUUUUAAAAUACCGAUAAUCCUCACUUUUUGAAUUGAUUGUAUUUUUUUUUAUAAAUCAGUAACAAAUUAAUAUUACUAAAAGAAUGAAUACAUAGGAAGGUCCAAAGGCCCAAAGAAAAAUAAGGAAAUAAAGAAAAUAUCAUUACAUUCAUGGGCCUAAGAACAAAACCCUAGUCCAUAGAAAACACCAACACAAACCCUACUUCAAACCAUCAAAAGAUUGCAGUCGUCAUCAUUUUCACUUAGUACGACCACCGUCGGACUCAUAGAUUAUCGCCGCCAAUCAGGAAAACGCCGGAAACCACCAUGAAAACUCCUCCAAGAAUAAGAAGAGAGAAAGUUUUCCUUCGAUUGAGGUCGGCUCUACCUUUGACUCAUUAACCGGUUUCGAAGCUCAUAUAAAAGCAACAACUCCGGAUUACCAACAGAAGGGCAAAACAAGGAGGAAGGAAAAAGAAAGAAGAGAAACAACUGAAAAUAACUUUCUAGACAUUCAAGAAUACGAACUCAAAAUCUGAAUCAAAUCAGCAAAAAAAGCUCCAAAAAGGAGAAACACAAGUCCAUAAGGAGAAAAGGAAAGCCUCACGAGGGAGGAAGAACAACAACAUGAUUCCAGAUAUGAAGAAUCAGACCAAAGAACCCAAAAAAUAUGAUAAAAAUCACUUAGGGAAAGUCAAAAUGAGGAGAUCUAGAGAAAAAGAGAAACAAACGUAUAAGGGAGGGGAUUAAGGUGCUGCCGUCGGUCACCCGAAGGUGCCACGGCAACAAAGAAACGGUGAAGAGAGGAGAGAAGGUAGAGAAAAAGAGAGAGAGAGACUAGACCAAACAUGCAGGUUUCGAAUAAGAUAAGUUAAU